Molecule: ribosomal RNA, 426 nt
Filed under: uncultured bacterium
Lineage: Bacteria
Description: bacterial SSU rRNA
Rfam family: Bacterial small subunit ribosomal RNA
Source: RNAcentral
GUGAGGAAUUUUCCGCAAUGGGCGAAAGCCUGACGGAGCAAUGCCGCGUGAAGGAUGAAGGCCUAUGGGUUGUAAACUUCUUUUCUCAGAAAAGAAUUAUGACGGUAUCUGAGGAAUAAGCAUCGGCUAACUCUGUGCCAGCAGCCGCGGUAAGACAGAGGAUGCAAGCGUUAUCCGGAAUGAUUGGGCGUAAAGCGUCUGUAGGUUGUUUAAAAAGUAUUCUGUCAAAGAUUAGGGCAUAACCCUAGAUAGGCAGAAUAAACUUUUAAGCUAGAGUUUGGUAGAGGCAGAGGGAAUUCCCGGUGGAGCGGUGAAAUGCGUAGAUAUCGGGAGGAACACCAAAGGCGAAGGCACUCUGCUGGGCCAAUACUAACACUGAGAGACGAAAGCGAGGGGAGCAAAUGGGAUUAGAUACCCGUGUAGUCC